Molecule: ribosomal RNA, 497 nt
Filed under: uncultured bacterium
Lineage: Bacteria
Description: partial 16S ribosomal RNA
Rfam family: Bacterial small subunit ribosomal RNA
Source: RNAcentral
GAUGAACGCUGGCGGCGUGCCUAAUACAUGCCAGUCGAACGGACAGACGAGGAUCUUGCUCCUCGGGCGUUAGCCGCGGGAGUGUGAGUAACGCGUGGAUAACCUACCUAUAAGACUGGUAUAGCUUCGUGAAACCGGAGCUAAUACCGGAUAAUAUAUUGAAGCGCGUGGUUGGAUAGUGAAAGACGGUUUUGCUGUCACUGAUAGAUGUAUCCGCGCUGCAUGGGCUGGUUGGUAAGGUAACGGCUUACCAAGGCAACGAUGCGUAGCCGACCUGAGAGGGUGAGGGGCCACACUGGAACUGAGACACGGUACAGAGUCUGAGGGGAGGCAGAAGUAGGGACUCUUGGGCACUGGGCGAAAGAUUGACGGAGCAACGCAGGGCGAGUGCUGCAGGUCUUCGGACGGUAAAACUCUGUUAUUAGGGAAGAACACAUGUGUAAGUAACUAUGCACGUCUUGACGGUACCUACUCAGAAAGCAACGGCUAACUACGUG